Molecule: ribosomal RNA, 301 nt
Filed under: uncultured bacterium
Lineage: Bacteria
Description: partial 16S ribosomal RNA
Rfam family: Bacterial small subunit ribosomal RNA
Source: RNAcentral
CAGUAGCCGCGGUAAUACGAAGGGUGCAAGCGUUAAUCGGAAUUACUGGGCGUAAAGCGUGCGUAGGCGGUUUGUUAAGUCUGUUGUGAAAUCCCCGGGCUCAACCUGGGAAUUGCAGUGGAUACUGGAUCACUAGAGUGUGGUAGAGGAUAGUGGAAUUUCCGGUGUAGUAGUGAAAUGCGUAGAGAUCGGAAGGAACAACUGUGGCGAAGGCGACUAUCUGGGCCAACACUGACACUGAGGCGCGAAAGCGUGGGGAGCAAACAGGAUUAGAUACCCCAGUAGUCCCUGUCUCUUAUAC